CUAAUGAUGCAGGCAGACCAGACAAAGAUCAGACAGACAAGUGUUGAGGCAGUUCGACAGGCAGACGGUCACAAGGGCCAGACAGAAAGGCGAUCUCUUUGUUUUCCAUCUGAGUCAAUAUUGUUUAUUGUGGUAGACGCAGACGGGAGGGAGAACAAGAAACGGGAGACCACAGGAAGAGUCAAGUUCCCACCCAGCUGAGGGAUGGAGGUCGGCCUGCUAAGUCACCAGACUGUCGCUUGAAACACGAGCAACCUGACGUGCAUCUGCCUUUCUCAAGUGGCCAGACAGGUGUUGUGGUCCAGUUUCCAGCCCGGAUCGCAGCUGUCCUCGGUGAGCCCAUUUCGACAGACGCAGUCGCAGGUGGAUUCAUCCAGAACCCUGUUGGGCCCACAAAGAGCCAGCAGACCUGAGUUCAGCGCCUCUGGAAGCCACAUGGAAAGAAAGCAACAAAUGGUGAUCCGUCGCGGCUCGUCUGAUGAUGGAGUGGAGCGGCCGCUUGGGGAGGCAAUCACAUGAGGUGUGGUUGACAAAGGUCACCAUGACAACGGAGCGGUCCAGUUUCGGCGGCGACAGCUCCAUCAGCUGGCAGGGGGAAGAAAGGUGAAGGUUAGAGAGUGGACUACAGGACUGGUUGAGGAGGCGGGAAACGACGACGAAGAGGAGACACUCUGCCAUUUCUUCCUCCGGCAGUGCUGAAGCAAGCUGUAUUCGGGGUACAGGAGCUGCAAGAGCUGAUCCACGCUCGUCACUGUCUCCAAGCUGGGCUGGUCAUCUGACAACGGCGGGUCCUGGGCGAAAGGAGUUACCGACAACUGUAAAGUAAAUUAUGGAGGGGGGAAGGAAAGAAGAAGAAGAAGAAGAAGAAGAAGAAGAAGAAGAAGGAGAAGAGAGACGGGGAGGAAGAGGUAAAAAUGCACCGACUGGAUGCUUUUGUUCACCUGCUCCGCCCUGUCUUGAGUUGGGCUUGCUUGCGACCCUGUCAAACGCUGGUGGCCCCUUCCCGUGUCCCCCCGGACUCCAGCACCUCGGCCUCUCUUCCUGCCAUCAGCCUCCACCUACACAGGAAUCAAAGAACAAAUGGACGUCAAAUAUUUAUCCUCCAGGGAAACGGGAUAAUCCGAAAAUCACCCUGUGGUUGGGUGUGACAGUUUUCAGAACCUAAUGUGUAUUAACUAUCGAUCACUGUGUAAACAAGUUCUAAAAGUAUAUAUAAUAGUGCUUGAGUUGCCUGAAAACAAGAUGGUACUCCAGAGGGUAGUUCUCAACUCAGUAGCUAUGAUUUAAUAUGUAUGACCAGAAAGUUAGAUAACAAAAAAUGAAGGUUUAUGGGGAUUAUGUUCGGGGAUUCCUGCAAAUUGUGACUGCAAGCUAAACAGUUAUGGAGGCAGAUUCCCCCUCAUCUGACUCCUGGUUGGUGGAGUCGUUGUAAUGAAAAGCACGCUAAGCACAGCAAGUGUUUCAUACCCUGAAUACUUUAUCCAUGUGAGUGCCCAGUUCUGAACGCAUUGUGGUUUGUGCAAGUUUAGUAACAGCACAUUCAGGAUCCUGUACUCCAUAACUAGCCUGGAGACAUACAACAAAUCAGCCUCGUGGAUCACGUCAUGGCUAAUCAGAUUAGCCGGCGCCAUCUGCUGGCGAAGACAAGGAGCUCUUUGAUUAUGAGAGUUUUACAAACAGGAAAGAUUGUUAAAUUUGAUGGUGGCAAUAAAUUCAUAGUUGUGUUAAAGAA
Long non-coding RNA from Acanthopagrus latus (yellowfin seabream), 1732 nucleotides. RefSeq lists it as uncharacterized. The record is from RefSeq and is a predicted model, not a curated record. The transcript has 6 exons. NCBI's taxonomy places the organism in Eukaryota, Metazoa, Chordata, Actinopteri, Spariformes, Sparidae.